GGGGCUAUAGCUCAGUGGUAGAGCACUUGCCUGGUAAGCGUGAGGCCCUAGGUUCAGUCCCUGGUACCA
Molecule: transfer RNA, 69 nt
Filed under: Heterocephalus glaber (naked mole-rat)
Lineage: Eukaryota; Metazoa; Chordata; Mammalia; Rodentia; Bathyergidae
Rfam family: tRNA
About the family: Transfer RNA (tRNA) molecules are approximately 80 nucleotides in length. Their secondary structure includes four short double-helical elements and three loops (D, anti-codon, and T loops).
Source: Rfam by way of RNAcentral